ACGGGACUGCCCGGCACGAGCCGCUAAUUUCCCUGAGGCGAUAUCAAUCCUAUGGGAGUUGUCCCUGCCCGGGUUACGGUGGUCUCAUCGGGGCCCGACGCAUAUGACGCCCACCUGAUGCUUGAGGCGUCAGAGGAUAUUAAGGGCAAACGACCAUGGCGGUUCCGUC
RNAcentral lists this non-coding RNA (169 nucleotides) under Hyphomicrobiaceae bacterium. RNAcentral's name for it is "6S RNA". It matches the Rfam family "6S / SsrS RNA". Rfam says of the family: E. coli 6S RNA was the first non coding RNA to be sequenced, but its function was unknown until recently. It consists of 184 nucleotides that fold into an extended hairpin structure with a large single-stranded internal bulge. RNAcentral also lists the same sequence under 1 other name. Lineage: Bacteria; Pseudomonadati; Pseudomonadota; Alphaproteobacteria; Hyphomicrobiales; Hyphomicrobiaceae. The record is from RNAcentral.